AACGCGAAGAACCUUACCUGGGCUCGAAAUGUAGUGGAAUAGGGUGGAAACAUCCUAGGCUCGCAAGAGACUGCUAUAUAGGUGCUGCAUGGCUGUCGUCAGCUCGUGUCGUGAGAUGUUGGGUUAAGUCCCGCAACGAGCGCAACCCUUAUCCCUAGUUGCCAUCGGGUCAAGCCGGGCACUCUAGUGAAACCGCUCAGGAUAACUGGGAGGAAGGUGGGGAUGACGUCAAGUCCUCAUGGCCUUUAUGUCCAGGGCUACACACGUGCUACAAUGGUCGGUACAAACCGUCGCAAACCCGCGAGGGGGAGCUAAUCGGAAAAAGCCGGCCUCAGUUCGGAUUGGAGUCUGCAACCCGACUCCAUGAAGCUGGAAUCGCUAGUAAUCGCGGAUCAGAACGCCGCGGUGAAUACGUUCCCGGGCCUUGUA
This 429-nucleotide ribosomal RNA is filed under the name uncultured Acidobacterium sp. RNAcentral describes it as "bacterial SSU rRNA". It matches the Rfam family "Bacterial small subunit ribosomal RNA", at positions 958 to 1385 of the family's 1533-position model. The record is from RNAcentral. Lineage: Bacteria; Pseudomonadati; Acidobacteriota; Terriglobia; Terriglobales; Acidobacteriaceae.